UUUUCUAGUGACAGCUUUCAGUGACAUUGACAGUCUUGAUACCUAUACCUGUCGCUUUGUGUUAGGCAAAUGUUAAGUAUUUUAUUAAAUAAAUAAAAUGAAAGUAUGUAUUUUGCGUCUGUGUAAUGUUCUCUGCAAGAAGUCGUGAUAAAGGAAAUGGAUGACAGAGAUGUCGUAUGGUUAAAAGGACCCAUGGCCCGGCGAGGCAUGCUGCGAGAGCGGCAUAACAAGGCCGUUGGUCCGAAAUCUAACGUAAUGAAUUGAAGUACAGAAACUGCAAUUAACGUAUUCUUCAAACAACAAGCAUGAUUAGAAUGUAUCAAAGCCACAUUAUAUCAGCCUAUCAACCUCGAUUGAAGACCAGUGACAUGGGCCAUUUGUUCAACAGAAUACAUAUGCAUUAAUGUAAUAUGUUUUAAUACAGCAUUCUCAUGACAUGAAUUAAAGUGAGAUCAGAUCAAACCACAGAUCAUGUUGUAACAUUGGUGUUCCGGACCUGUGAGAGGCAUGUGCAGACUUGCAGAGCUAAAGGCAACC
This is a long non-coding RNA of Leguminivora glycinivorella, 537 nucleotides long. RefSeq lists it as uncharacterized. NCBI's taxonomy places the organism in Eukaryota, Metazoa, Arthropoda, Insecta, Lepidoptera, Tortricidae. The record is from RefSeq and is a predicted model, not a curated record. The transcript has 3 exons.